AAUGCUCAGGAUGGACAUCUAGCAGCUGGCCGUAAUGGUGUCAAGCGGCUUCGCACUGUCAGGCAUCCAAAUAUUCUAUCAUUUCUGUACAGUACUGAGGUUGAAACUUUUGAUGGUUCUACCUCAAGGAUUACUUUGUAUAUGGUAACUGAACCUGUUAUGCCAUUAUCUGAGAAGAUCAAGGAGCUAGGUUUAGAAGGCACACAAAGAGAUGAGUAUUAUGCUUGGGGGCUGCACCAGAUAGCUAAAGCUGUGAGCUUUUUGAAUAAUGAUUGUAAACUUGUACAUGGUAAUGUUUGCUUGGCCAGUGUUGUUGUCACGCCAACUCUAGACUGGAAGCUGCAUGCUUUUGAUGUUUUAUCUGAAUUUGAUGGGAAUAAUGAAAGUGCAACUGGACCAAUGCUGCAAUAUGAAU
Molecule: unclassified non-coding RNA, 415 nt
Filed under: Hevea brasiliensis (rubber tree)
Lineage: Eukaryota; Viridiplantae; Streptophyta; Magnoliopsida; Malpighiales; Euphorbiaceae
Source: RNAcentral